GGAUUAGAUACCCUGGUAGUCCACGCCGUAAACGAUGUCUACUAGCCGUUGGGGUACUUGAGACCUUGGUGGCGCAGUUAACGCGAUAAGUAGACCGCCUGGGGAGUACGGCCGCAAGGUUAAAACUCAAAUGAAUUGACGGGGGCCCGCACAAGCGGUGGAGCAUGUGGUUUAAUUCGAUGCAACGCGAAGAACCUUACCAGGCCUUGACAUCCUUGGAAUCCUGCAGAGAUGCGGGAGUGCCUUCGGGAAUCAAGUGACAGGUGCUGCAUGGCUGUCGUCAGCUCGUGCCG
Molecule: ribosomal RNA, 293 nt
Filed under: uncultured bacterium
Lineage: Bacteria
Description: partial 16S ribosomal RNA
Rfam family: Bacterial small subunit ribosomal RNA
Source: RNAcentral